RNAcentral lists this long non-coding RNA (747 nucleotides) under Cavia porcellus (domestic guinea pig). Its description in RNAcentral is "lncRNA (ENSCPOG00000036961.1)". Lineage: Eukaryota; Metazoa; Chordata; Mammalia; Rodentia; Caviidae. The record is from RNAcentral.
GCCAGGUGACCUUGGGCCGAAUACAACCCUUGGGAUGCAACCUGCUUUAUGAGGUGACUAAGGCAGGGGGUUGGGGGCGACAGAGAGGCCGAGUAGGCAGUGAUGAUAAUGGCCAGCAUUCAUGCCAGGCCUUCCUCAAGGCGGGCUCCCAUCUCACCUGGCACCCUGCUGCAGGAAGAGGAGGGACUAUUAUCCCCACAGAACAGGAGCAAAACCAGGACUGCUAAGCACCAGCAGCAGUGGAGUCAGAUUCGAAGGCCACAGUGCUGUAGGCAGAUGUCCUCGUGAUGCUCUCUGCCACUAGGUCUAAAAGAAGGAAAGGAACAAGAGAAAAUGAAACCAGGAGGGACAGCCAAGGUAGAAGGAGGACCUACUACAUGCAAGGCCUGCUUCAUGACACUGGAAGUUUUGUUCCUUUUUCCGGAAAGUUCUGUUGUGCAAGGUGGGAGAACAGAUACUCAUGUGGGUGUGCUAAAGACAAGUUUAUCAGCAUCCCGACAGAGGAUGGCUCUGCAGCGAGGAGAGGAUGGAGCCAGCUCCCUUGGGGAUGGCUCCAAGGGCCCCUUCUUCCCACCCACAGAGGCGCAGGACAAGCCCUUGCAGCUACCGGGCAGACGGCACUUGGCAGGUAUGUCCAGGGCGGGAAUCGAGGUGGCUGCAGGGCGGCUCGUGUGGCAUUCACUCACUGUGGAGUGUGACGACUCUGCCAGAACUGAGAACGAAUUCAGGUCACUUGUAGGAAAGUGA